UACAGAAGAUUUAAGGACUCUCAGGAACUCUGAUUCUCCCAUAGGGCUUUCAGAUACCAUAGAUGGGAACAGAGCUACCACCAGGAAGGGCAGCAACAAACAGCCCAGAUGUCCUCAACGACAGAGCCUCAGCUGCUACAGAGAAUGGGGAAAGACCAGGCAGAGGACAUUCUCUGGCAUUUCUCUUUCCUCCCAGUGCAGUCCAUAGAUGUGCCCUCAGGAAAGGUUCGGAAGCACAGAUGGAAUCUGGCUAGUCCCUCUAAGUUUCUUCCCAGAUUCUAUCCCUCCUUCAGGGGUCUUGAGACUGGAAAACCCUGGUGUCUGUAUGGCUAUUGAGAAUGGAACGGUUUCCUCUUGUCGCUGGAGUAUAGAUUCUGAGAGAUUUUAGUAUUGUCCUUGUAUCUUUUGGACUUUGGAGCCUAUCUUCCGUUUUAUUCAAAACGGAAAGAGGGACAUUCAAAAGGGAGGUCCUGGAUGAUCUUCUGGACUUCUGCGGGGAGCCCAGAGCACUGUAACCACAAACAUCUUCUCAUGGUAAUAGCUGAUGCCAUAGUUCGAGCCACCGCAUCUGCAUCAUCUAUGUUGCCCGAAGAACCAUUCUGGCAACCAGCUUGCACUCAUCCAUAAUUACUGCAAACUCCUACUUACAACCCUUAGGCAGCUUGUCUUUAAAUUUUAUAACUAUUUCCCAGAGGAUGAAAUCCUAGUGGCUUGGGAGUGUGUGUUGGUUUGCAAUCAUGA
This is a long non-coding RNA of Caretta caretta (loggerhead turtle), 741 nucleotides long. RefSeq lists it as uncharacterized. The record is from RefSeq and is a predicted model, not a curated record. NCBI's taxonomy places the organism in Eukaryota, Metazoa, Chordata, Testudines, Cheloniidae.